GAGUUUGAUCGUGGCUCAGAUUGAACGCUGGCGGCAUGCCUUACACAUGCAAGUCGAACGGCAGCACGGGAGCAAUCCUGGUGGCGAGUGGCGAACGGGUGAGUAAUACAUCGGAACGUGCCCAAUCGUGGGGGAUAACGCAGCGAAAGCUGUGCUAAUACCGCAUACGAUCUACGGAUGAAAGCAGGGGACCGCAAGGCCUUGCGCGAAUGGAGCGGCCGAUGGCAGAUUAGGUAGUUGGUGGGGUAAAGGCUCACCAAGCCAACGAUCUGUAGCUGGUCUGAGAGGACGACCAGCCACACUGGGACUGAGACACGGCCCAGACUCCUACGGGAGGCAGCAGUGGGGAAUUUUGGACAAUGGGCGCAAGCCUGAUCCAGCCAUGCCGCGUGCAGGAUG
RNAcentral lists this ribosomal RNA (399 nucleotides) under uncultured beta proteobacterium. RNAcentral describes it as "bacterial SSU rRNA". It matches the Rfam family "Bacterial small subunit ribosomal RNA", at positions 9 to 410 of the family's 1533-position model. Lineage: Bacteria; Pseudomonadati; Pseudomonadota; Betaproteobacteria. The record is from RNAcentral.